UACGUAGGGGGCUAGCGUUGUCCGGAAUCAUUGGGCGUAAAGCGUGCGUAGGCGGUUGGCCAAGUCAGCUGUGAAAGCCCCGGGCUUAACCUGGGAAUGGCGGUUGAAACUAGUCGACUAGAAUCUGGCAGAGGGGGGUGGAAUUCCACGUGUAGCAGUGAAAUGCGUAGAGAUGUGGAGGAACACCGAUGGCGAAGGCAGCCCCCUGGGCUGAGAUUGACGCUCAGGCACGAAAGCGUGGGGAGCAAACAGG
RNAcentral lists this ribosomal RNA (253 nucleotides) under uncultured bacterium. RNAcentral describes it as "partial 16S ribosomal RNA". It matches the Rfam family "Bacterial small subunit ribosomal RNA", at positions 524 to 776 of the family's 1533-position model. The record is from RNAcentral.